Molecule: transfer RNA, 76 nt
Filed under: Pseudaminobacter soli (ex Zhang et al. 2022)
Lineage: Bacteria; Pseudomonadati; Pseudomonadota; Alphaproteobacteria; Hyphomicrobiales; Phyllobacteriaceae
Description: tRNA-Gln
Rfam family: tRNA
About the family: Transfer RNA (tRNA) molecules are approximately 80 nucleotides in length. Their secondary structure includes four short double-helical elements and three loops (D, anti-codon, and T loops). Further hydrogen bonds mediate the characteristic L-shaped molecular structure. tRNAs have two regions of fundamental functional importance: the anti-codon, which is responsible for specific mRNA codon recognition, and the 3' end, to which the tRNAs corresponding amino acid is attached (by aminoacyl-tRNA synthetases). tRNAs cope with the degeneracy of the genetic code in two manners: having more than one tRNA (with a specific anti-codon) for a particular amino acid; and 'wobble' base-pairing, i.e. permitting non-standard base-pairing at the 3rd anti-codon position.
Source: RNAcentral
UCAGGAAUAGUUCAAUCGGCAGAACGCAGCCCUCUGAAGGCUGAUGUUGGAGGUUCGACCCCUCCUUCCUGAUCCA